UACAGAGGUCCCAAGCGUUGUUCGGAUUCAUUGGGCGUAAAGGGUGCGUAGGUGGCGCCGUAAGUGGGGUGUGAAAUUUCGGAGCUUAACUCCGAAACUGCAUUUGAUACUGCCUUGCUCGAGUACUGGAGAGGAGAUUGGAAUUUACGGUGUAGCAGUGAAAUGCGUAGAUAUCGUAAGGAAGACCAGUGGCGAAGGCGAAUCUCUGGACAGUUACUGACACUGAGGCACGAAGGCCAGGGGAGCAAACGGG
RNAcentral lists this ribosomal RNA (253 nucleotides) under uncultured bacterium. RNAcentral describes it as "partial 16S ribosomal RNA". It matches the Rfam family "Bacterial small subunit ribosomal RNA", at positions 524 to 776 of the family's 1533-position model. The record is from RNAcentral.